UACGGAGGGUGCAAGCGUUAUCCGGAUUUACUGGGUUUAAAGGGUGCGCAGGCGGUAAGGUAAGUCAGUGGUGAAAGCUUCCAGCUCAACUGGAAAACUGCCAUUGAUACUGCUUUACUUGAAUAUAGUAGAGGUGGGCGGAAUACAUCAUGUAGCGGUGAAAUGCUUAGAUAUGAUGUAGAACACCAAUUGCGAAGGCAGCUCACUAAACUAUCAUUGACGCUCAGGCACGAAAGCGUGGGUAGCGAACAGG
RNAcentral lists this ribosomal RNA (253 nucleotides) under uncultured bacterium. RNAcentral's name for it is "partial 16S ribosomal RNA". It matches the Rfam family "Bacterial small subunit ribosomal RNA", at positions 524 to 776 of the family's 1533-position model. The record is from RNAcentral.